RNAcentral lists this ribosomal RNA (1542 nucleotides) under Alcaligenes faecalis. Its description in RNAcentral is "bacterial SSU rRNA". It matches the Rfam family "Bacterial small subunit ribosomal RNA". RNAcentral also lists the same sequence under 1 other name. The record is from RNAcentral. Lineage: Bacteria; Pseudomonadati; Pseudomonadota; Betaproteobacteria; Burkholderiales; Alcaligenaceae.
AGAUUAAACUGAAGAGUUUGAUCCUGGCUCAGAUUGAACGCUAGCGGGAUGCUUUACACAUGCAAGUCGAACGGCAGCACGAGAGAGCUUGCUCUCUUGGUGGCGAGUGGCGGACGGGUGAGUAAUAUAUCGGAACGUGCCCAGUAGCGGGGGAUAACUACUCGAAAGAGUGGCUAAUACCGCAUACGCCCUACGGGGGAAAGGGGGGGAUCGCAAGACCUCUCACUAUUGGAGCGGCCGAUAUCGGAUUAGCUAGUUGGUGGGGUAAAGGCUCACCAAGGCAACGAUCCGUAGCUGGUUUGAGAGGACGACCAGCCACACUGGGACUGAGACACGGCCCAGACUCCUACGGGAGGCAGCAGUGGGGAAUUUUGGACAAUGGGGGAAACCCUGAUCCAGCCAUCCCGCGUGUAUGAUGAAGGCCUUCGGGUUGUAAAGUACUUUUGGCAGAGAAGAAAAGGCAUCCCCUAAUACGGGAUGCUGCUGACGGUAUCUGCAGAAUAAGCACCGGCUAACUACGUGCCAGCAGCCGCGGUAAUACGUAGGGUGCAAGCGUUAAUCGGAAUUACUGGGCGUAAAGCGUGUGUAGGCGGUUCGGAAAGAAAGAUGUGAAAUCCCAGGGCUCAACCUUGGAACUGCAUUUUUAACUGCCGAGCUAGAGUAUGUCAGAGGGGGGUAGAAUUCCACGUGUAGCAGUGAAAUGCGUAGAUAUGUGGAGGAAUACCGAUGGCGAAGGCAGCCCCCUGGGAUAAUACUGACGCUCAGACACGAAAGCGUGGGGAGCAAACAGGAUUAGAUACCCUGGUAGUCCACGCCCUAAACGAUGUCAACUAGCUGUUGGGGCCGUUAGGCCUUAGUAGCGCAGCUAACGCGUGAAGUUGACCGCCUGGGGAGUACGGUCGCAAGAUUAAAACUCAAAGGAAUUGACGGGGACCCGCACAAGCGGUGGAUGAUGUGGAUUAAUUCGAUGCAACGCGAAAAACCUUACCUACCCUUGACAUGUCUGGAAUGCCGAAGAGAUUUGGCAGUGCUCGCAAGAGAACCGGAACACAGGUGCUGCAUGGCUGUCGUCAGCUCGUGUCGUGAGAUGUUGGGUUAAGUCCCGCAACGAGCGCAACCCUUGUCAUUAGUUGCUACGCAAGAGCACUCUAAUGAGACUGCCGGUGACAAACCGGAGGAAGGUGGGGAUGACGUCAAGUCCUCAUGGCCCUUAUGGGUAGGGCUUCACACGUCAUACAAUGGUCGGGACAGAGGGUCGCCAACCCGCGAGGGGGAGCCAAUCUCAGAAACCCGAUCGUAGUCCGGAUCGCAGUCUGCAACUCGACUGCGUGAAGUCGGAAUCGCUAGUAAUCGCGGAUCAGAAUGUCGCGGUGAAUACGUUCCCGGGUCUUGUACACACCGCCCGUCACACCAUGGGAGUGGGUUUCACCAGAAGUAGGUAGCCUAACCGCAAGGAGGGCGCUUACCACGGUGGGAUUCAUGACUGGGGUGAAGUCGUAACAAGGUAGCCGUAUCGGAAGGUGCGGCUGGAUCACCUCCUUU